RNAcentral lists this ribosomal RNA (564 nucleotides) under Beauveria bassiana. RNAcentral's name for it is "eukaryotic LSU rRNA". The stretch from base 206 to 359 matches the Rfam family "5.8S ribosomal RNA". The record is from RNAcentral. Lineage: Eukaryota; Fungi; Ascomycota; Sordariomycetes; Hypocreales; Cordycipitaceae.
UCGUAACAAGGUCUCCGUUGGUGAACCAGCGGAGGGAUCAUUACCGAGUUUUCAACUCCCAAACCCUUAUGUGAACCUACCUAUCGUUGCUUCGGCGGACUCGCCCCAGCCGGACGCGGACUGGACCAGCGGCCGCCGGGGACCAUCAAACUCUUGUAUUAUCAGCAUCUUCUGAAUACGCCGCAAGGCAAAACAAAUAAAUUAAAACUUUCAACAACGGAUCUCUUGGCUCUGGCAUCGAUGAAGAACGCAGCGAAAUGCGAUAAGUAAUGUGAAUUGCAGAAUCCAGUGAAUCAUCGAAUCUUUGAACGCACAUUGCGCCCGCCAGCAUUCUGGCGGGCAUGCCUGUUCGAGCGUCAUUUCAACCCUCGACCUCCCUUUGGGGAAGUCGGCGUUGGGGACCGGCAGCACACCGCCGGCCCUGAAAUGGAGUGGCGGCCCGUCCGCGGCGACCUCUGCGUAGUAAACCAACUCGCACCGGAACCCCGACGUGGCCACGCCGUAAAACACCCAACUUCUGAACGUUGACCUCGAAUCAGGUAGGACUACCCGCUGAACUUAAGC